UAUAUACUCCAUCCAUCCGGAAAUACUUGUCCUAGAAGUGGAUGUAUCUUGACUUAUUUUAGUUAUAGAUACAUCCAUUAUAUCCAUUUCUAGGUCAAGUAUUUCCGGGUAGAGGGAGUAUAUG
Hordeum vulgare subsp. vulgare (domesticated barley) is the source of this 124-nucleotide non-coding RNA. The record is from Rfam. Lineage: Eukaryota; Viridiplantae; Streptophyta; Magnoliopsida; Poales; Poaceae.